UUAUACUUUGGUGUAUGAUGCACAAAAGUUUUUGAAACUUUUAGAAAUAGUUUAAUUCUAUUAGGUAUAAAACC
Molecule: transfer RNA, 74 nt
Filed under: Drosophila willistoni
Lineage: Eukaryota; Metazoa; Arthropoda; Insecta; Diptera; Drosophilidae
Description: tRNA-Gln
Source: RNAcentral